UGUACUUCAAAUGCGUCUUCGCGCUUUUUUUCCCCGAUUAUGAAACCAUCCGCGGUGGUAACGGUGGUUCGUUCGUACUCACUUGCUGAAGUGGUAUUAGAUUUCGAGUGGAAAACUUUGGAUCGUUUUUGCAAUAACGGCAGCAACAACACUGCGUGGUUUCGGUUCGAGCACCUGUCCUCACUUGGAGGUCUCAUUUGAAAUUCUGCGACAUCAAGAAGGCAUGGCACCAUCAUAUUGCCCAACAGAACAGCUGUCAACUCCAGGGCUUGCCUGCUAGAAGUGCAUGUUGAAAAUGGACUGUGGUACGAAGGAACCCAAGAGUAGAAAAGGAUGAAGAAGGAUUGGAACUAGCCCUUGCUUAUCUAAAUGUCUGUUCUUGAAGCUUAGGGCACAGGAGCUUGUUUCUUGUAGUCUUAGGGCCGAAACUAGAAAAUUGCCCUUCAGCAAACACGAUUACUUUGAUGGAGCGUCUUCAGAAGGUUCAUAGAAAUGGCAGGGCCAGCCUUUCAAAAUAUACUGCUCACCAAACUGCUGCAGAAACCAGAUUUCAAAACAUGCGAGGUUACCUGAUACGCCAACUUUCUGAGAUGCAGGGGAGAUGAGCUACGUCAGCUAGACAAAGAUCCUCACUGCGACUGGUGCUUUACACAACGAACUCAAGGACAAUGCAGACUACAACAAGAAAAUCCUGGAUGCAAUCUUGGGUGCCCUUUUUGUCUUGGAGCAACGCUCACAAUCCUCCGACAGUCCAGCAACCUUGCAGCAGCCAUGCAGAGUAGCAGCAGGCAGGCUAUUGCGUCGCAUGGCCAGGUUUCACCCACCAGGCCAGUGCCACCUGCUCCCUUGACAGCCAAAAGCAGCAAUAAGAUUGGUUGCUGCAUUGACUGACCACACUUGUCAAGCCGACUGUGCAAGCCGAAGUUCACUGUUCAUUAGCCAAGUGCUGGGUGGAAUCCAAUCUGCAUCACUGCCUUGGUUCUGCACAGUGGCCACAUUGCUCUGCCAUGCAAAAUGCCUUGCUCGGAGAAUGUGCUCACCACCGAAGAGGAACCUGAAUGUAAGCAUCAAUGCGCUGAAGCUGCUCGCUGACGCUAUGCGGAUAAGACGACUAAAGCAUGGUCUAUCAGCCUACAGCAAAUGCAGGAUGCUCAGUGUGAACGUCGAGCAACCAACACAGACAUGGAAAGGGCUGCCCAUUUGGAGAAACCGAAAGCUGUCGACCAUCAACACUGUAUUGCCGAAAUGGUUGGGCAUCGGAGUGUCCAGGCUGUCCAAGCUGCUAUUCGUAUACUUGGAUUGUCAUUAUAGAUGAGUUCUGCCCGAAUUUUUUUCACUUGUGCUUUUCUGUCAUUGGUAAGGCUCAUAUACCAAAGGAAAUCCUAUGUGCAAUUUUGUGUUAAAUGAAUUCUAAUGAGUUAAGCACUAGGUUAUUAGUACUAACAUAUCCAGAACUCAAGCCAUAGAGAGUGUACUUACCUGAUGAGCCCUAAAUGAAGCAUGCAUGCUGAAGUUGUCCACUUAAUGCGGGAAUUGAUGCAAAGCACUGGGUGACGUGACCUGUCACAUGUGGCAUGUAGUACAGUAUACGAGCAGCAACCGACAACCUGAACUGUUCAGAACUAGUAAGUAAGUUCUAUUUCCCUUUUAAGUUCUUAUUCCAUUUUAGAACAGGGCAGGCGCUCGAAGCACUGCAGGAAAAAGAGUCAUUGGUUGUGGUUCUAUAGUUGUGGCUUCAUAGUUGUAGGGUAUGGUAGUGCACUCACGUUCACCGAUUCACUGCCUCACCCUCUCCACAUUUUUGCUCAGAGACAGAGUUAGCUCCACAUUUGAGAAUUUGGAAACGCAAGAAUGUGUUCACCUCUGAGCCAACCACAUUUUUUUCUUUGUUCGCCAGUUGACAUCACAUCAAUAUAAACUCCGUAUUGGCAAAGUAGCAGCUUUUGCUUUCGUUUCUGUAGAAAUGCAAAAACAUCAGUAGAUUCAAGUGGCUUAUCACUGAAUCAGCAGGAAAUGUUAAAAAUCAGCAGAUCUGCUGAUAAAUCAGCAGCUGUGGCACCACUGGCAUGGACCAGACGAGUCACUGUAGAGGUUGUGCCAGUUGCUUGGAACACCUGCCCAGGAGACCAAUCGCGAAGUGCGCUGGAGCCCUGUUGCGGGCACGGCCAAUCGGACACCUUGGAACGACCUUCAAACAUGUGCUUUAUGUGUGCUUGUUUCUAUGCGGAGGAGAGAGCGGAAGCAGUGUAUUUGAAAAUGGAGAAACACGCCUUCUCAUGAGAGCAAUAUGGUGGCACUGAGUUGCGUUGUUGCGGUGAUAUCAUGGCUUGAAAAAUGCAGUUAUUCUUGCGAUUUACAUGAAAUGUUUUGCCGCCUUGGCUGAUACAAUACAUUUUUUAGACUGCUUCUUUUUGGUUUCAAAGGUACUUUGUAAUCAGAAAAAAGAGUUAUAAAAACUGAAAAUGUGAUUUUCAAAAGCUGUUUUUAGUUAAUGUUAGCUAUGUAAAAGAUGCAUCUUCCCUUAAUUCUGUUCCAUCUAAUUUGCUCAUUUGUCACACAAAACAGUAUUUCUGUAUAGUGACUACGGCAAAUACAUGUCUUGUCUAAAAGGAAAUCCUUGACCAUAAUGAAUAUAGUAUAACGAAAUAGUAGUUGCAGUGAUUGUUUCAUGCUAUUUUAAAGGACACGAAAGGGUAGGUUAUAGGGGAACAAGCUAGGAAAAUAGGUUAGUUUUUUAGAAUAAUUAUGUCGUGAUUACAAUGAACAAAGCUCUUCUGAAAAAAAAAUAAAUAGAAGGAAAUUAGUGAAUGAUAGGAUUGCCACCAUACUAAGGCAAUAAUGCACCCGAGAUGUAAAUUGGCCCCAACCCCACCAAAACCGUGUACGCAGAAACAGGUGUGGGAUCAUGGCAGUAGGACUACGAACAAGCUGGCGAGGAGUGUUAAUGUCCACAAACAGAUACACAGAUGGCCACAUGCACAUGCCUUGUAGCACAGUACCACGCAGGAAUACUGUAUGCAGAAAUAUAAGUCCCAAUAGCACACAAAAAAGAAAAGUCUUAAUGUAAGUCGUUGUGCGAAUGCCAGAAAAAUGACACCAGCUAUUUUGAGUACAGAUAGAGACACAAGCAUGCCAUUGAGACAAGAGAAUGAUGACAAUAAACAGUGUGUGCCAGAAGCAGUACACACAUGUACUCAAGAUAACCUGGAAUCACUCACAUAUUGGGGCAAGGCCAUCUGUCGGAAGCGCCUCGCAUGCAUAGUAUGAUGAAUAAAGCGGCGCGCUCCUCAUAGGUUUGGCUGUCGGCACACAAUAAACACAUCACAUAGGAGCCCUCUUGUACAUUUAUGUAAGUACUCUCUAAAUGAAAGAAGUUUUUUGCUGUCAAUAUAAUAAUCUUGGGCAAAUAUAAAACACAAAAUGGUUUACAGACAUUAUCUCUUUACCGAAUACAUACAGUGAAUGCCCACUGCGCGCGACAGUGGCGAUCGAGUCCCCUGACCUAGACUCCUGUGUUAAAGGCUGCAAUUGCCGAGAGCAAACUAUGUGAAAUAUGUUCUCAUAGUGUGCUGUCUGUAUAACCAGACGGAGUACAACAGAAUGAAGUCUCAAUGCAGUGAUCGCAAGGGUUCACUCUUACCGACUGCGCGUCUGCAUGCAUGUCCAUGCACAAUGUUUCGCUUUCACUGCGAGCGCGUUUUCGCACCGUUCCAUGAGAGUUAGGCCACAGCAUAUGAGCAUUUAACAGUACACAAGCAACCAUUGUUGCGUGGACACCAUCAGAGCUGUUCAAAAAAUAAGUUUGUUAUAACUAGGGACUUCGACGCAUACGGCAACUUGUGAUGUGCCGUCGCGACGAUUCAAUCUUGUUUGUUUUCGUUUCUUCUGAAUUCUUGGACGUUUCAUUAUGAUUAUUUCUCAAGUUGCAUCGCACUGUAUGUUUACCGGACUUGUCAGUGAGCAAUUUUCUGCUGCUUAACAUUUCUAAUCCAGUAUACAUUUAUUGAUUGGCGCCAACUCAAACAUGAGCAUAUGCUAUGCUGUGAUGUUAGGAUUGUCACGUUGCAAAGCGUGUGACGCGAGGAAGAUGGAGGAGACGGUGCAUGAUGAGCAAACACACAAUUAUAUUAGACGGCACGUGAACACGAAAAAAUAUCUUAACCUAGACCCACACAUACAAGGUUGUUCGUAAGUAGGAAAAAUAAAUGUAGUCUCACGAGGUUGCCGUUAAGUCCGGAGUGUGGUGACACGUAGAGUCCUUGACGUGAAACGCUUGUUCGUCGAGUGAUGACCGGCGUGGAAUAGCAGACGCAGCAGCACGGGGCAGGAAAAGGUGGACGGCCCACAGCUCCGUAGACGAGAACAGGCCACUCGGUCGCCCAGUCACCCAAAGCUCGCGCGUAGAAGCAGGUUCCAAAAUGCCGGCAGGCCGACCUGAGGCCUCGUGCAAGACAAUGACCCGAGGCGCUCCUCGUCUGGACGACGGACGCUCGCUCUCCCGAACCUCGCGCGUAGAUGCGGGUUCGAGGCUGCAGCAGGCCGUUCCGGGGUCUCGUGCCGUGCAACGACUCAAGGCGUUCCCUGUCCCGAAGACGGACGCUCGGUCAGGUGAACCUCACCAGGAGAUGUGGGUUCCGAAGGCCCGGUGGCCCUAGUCGCGCCGGCGUUCCAACGAUCUCCGUUGCGCGAGCGCCUUCGUCUUUCUUUUCCUCUUGUUGAGGACGGCCACAAUGUCGUCUGCUCUUGCGCUCAGUUCUUUGUGUGUACUUCUUCACAAUCACCCCCUACUUAAGAAAGUUCUCUCAUUCAAAGAACUUGAGGGUACUCGCUAUCUGCUGGUCCACUGUAGCACACACGUACCACAAGAGUAUUACCACUGCACCACAGUUCCGAGCACCGCACACUUGGUACGUUUGAGUACACAUAAAUAUUGCCACAGUGCUACAGUUCCGAGCACCGCACACUCGGCAUGUAAGAGUACACAUAAAAAUUACUACAACACUAGAGUUUCGAGCACCGCACACUCGGCAUAUGACAACAUUAACAAGACACAACACCACGAUUGAGGGUGAAAAAAAAAUCCAUAAAACUAACAUGCGAGCAAAUGUUGUUCGAUGCACCGGUUUGAAGUGCAUGCUUUUACAACACCAUCUUUAGACAACAUGUUUAAAACACAAUGAGGGAGCGAUUCCGAGAGACUCGCGUAGGCCGCCGAUUCUUUUUCUUGAAACGGUACGCAUGUCGAUCUUCAUUUUCGGUGUCACUAGUCUGACAAGCAGCUGACGCUUCCGGGGAUGGCGGGGAUAUAAGUGGCCGUUCCUCAUACUUCUUCAGUAGAUUUACAUGAAAUAGUGCCGUCCUUGUACCGAGGUCAAUAACGUAAUCGACGUCAUUUCUUCUCUCAAGUACCGUGAAUGGCCCUUUCCACGUAAGAAUCAAUUUGUUGUUGUCCGAAGGCAGCAGUAGCAGAACCUUGUCUCCAACAGCUAAAUGACGUGGUCUGGCCUUCCGGUCGUAGUGUUUCUUCUGUAAAAGUUUUGCUUUUUGAAGCUCCUCCUUGGCCAAAUGACAAGUGUCUUCAAGAUGCUUCCGUAACUCAACUACAUACCCGUAUGAGGUUUUUGUGUCAUCAUCAAGAUGAUCACCUGUUUAUAAUUCUUUCAAUAUCGCCAU
Molecule: long non-coding RNA, 5673 nt
Organism: Dermacentor albipictus
Lineage: Eukaryota; Metazoa; Arthropoda; Arachnida; Ixodida; Ixodidae
Source: RefSeq, a predicted model, not a curated record